UGGAUGGGGCCCCUAUGUGUGGUGAUAAAUAUUAACUAAUCUUAUUGUGGUAGUCAUGUUGCAAUCUAGACAAAUAUCAAAUCAUUCUGGUGUGCAUCUUAAACAUACACAAUGCCAUAUGUUAAUUCUGCCUCAAUAAAAAUGAGGAGGGGGAAGGUGCUUUUCUUCUCCCCGACAGCACAGUCUUGCCUAUGUUCCUACGGCAGCUGUGAUGGUCAAGGAGCCCACUUACGUGAUGCCUGACAGGGAAUGUCCCUCAGGGGUCUGAGGUGCCGGUAGGGAAGAGGAAAGAGGAGGGGAGGAAAAGCAAAGCUAGCAAAGCAGAGGGAGAAGCAAGGCAGAAGGAGAGAGAAAACCGCUCUCCUGUCUUCCUCUCGCAUCCUUGUAGCCAGUUCUGUGGUCACAUCACCAACAGCCGGCCAUUUGUCACCAUCUUCCAGGUGGCCUCCCCCCUCACCCAGGCUGCUUUCAGAAAUGAGCAAAAGAGGUGUGUGGGGGCAGAAGACCCAGAAAUCUUGGCUUGUCAUCUGAAGCUUUUGAACCCAGGCAAACCGUAAGCCUCCCUGGGUCUGUUUCCUCAUCUGUAAAAGUCAUAAGCUGGCUUUUCCCUGGAACACUACCAUAAACUCCAAGCUCCCACCACUCAUGGGCCAGCACCUUCAUAGUCCUGCAUUCAUUCAGCCCUUGACUGAGCACAGACUGCCUGCCAAGCACUGAUCCAGGCCCUGGGGGUGCUUCUGCGAGCCAGCAAGACAAGUCUGCUGUCCUCAAGGACCUCCGAGAGGGCCCUCUGCAGUCUACCUGGUGCUCUCUUGCCGGAAUCGUCCCUCCCUGGACAAGUCCUCCCAGCUUCCAGUUCCCUCUCCUCUAUGAAGCCUUUCUGAAUUCCUAUUAACUCAUGAUCUUGUCCCUCUUUUUUCCCUACGGCACCUGAAGGCUGCUUCAUACAAUUCGAUGUGUGUCAUUUUAUUUCAUAAAAUUCCCACAGAUUGAAAGCACCGUGCAGGAAUCUAUUUUUCCACAUCCUCACAACCCCGAGGAGACGCACGAAAUGCCUAUUGAUUUCAGAAGAGUACACCAGAAAGGCGGGGCAUGUGGGAGAAACUUUCUGAGGGAGAACCCCCUAUGACCACUCUGUGUCACAUGCACGAUGGGCUGGUUGGCUCCUUGGGAAGGGCAGCACCAGCGAGGACAGACUGAUUCAUGGCUUGUCCAAAGCCAACCACAGGGGAAGCCACGCUCAAGGACAUGUUCCUGCCGCCAGCGAAAGACGAGUGUCUCCUAGCAACCAGAUUCCAGUGGCUUCCUGGCCUCCAGAGUUUGCCCCUGCUCACUGCUUUGUUGCCUCUGGGUUUGCAUUUUGGCGUUUGCUGACCAUGGCAUUCAUUCUUGAUUCCAAAACUUGAGGAAGAAUGUCUGAUCCCCAAGCUAGCUGACUGGACUAGCUCUGAGAACCAUUUCAUUCAUGACAUCCUUUCGGUAAUGCUAGAACUUUCAAGGAACAGAAUGUUUGCUCUUAGCUUAAAAAGGGUGAAUACAUUUUCCCCCAAGAUUGUUAUUUAUAUCAGAGCAGCUGGUUUGAAAGAUACAUAAAAAGGGAAGAGCAUACAUUCUUUCCAUCAAAUAAUCAAAAAGUACUCAGACAUUUUCAAAAAAGAUACACUGUCAUUCAAAACCUGUUUCAGCAAUAAACUUUAACUUGGCAAAUUCACAGAUGCAGAAGGAAAGGCAAGUCGAAUUUGAAGAAAAUGACUCAAGGUCCUUAAAAGUUUGGAUGGCUAAUAAAAUUAUGUCUGCUGCAAUA
This is a long non-coding RNA of Herpailurus yagouaroundi (jaguarundi), 1804 nucleotides long. RefSeq lists it as uncharacterized. Lineage: Eukaryota; Metazoa; Chordata; Mammalia; Carnivora; Felidae. The transcript has 2 exons. The record is from RefSeq and is a predicted model, not a curated record.